AGGGUUCGAUUCUGGCUCAGGAUGAACGCUGGCGGCGUGCUUAACACAUGCAAGUCGAACGGGAUCCCUGGCAGCUUGCUUCGGGGUGAGAGUGGCGAACGGGUGAGUAAUGCGUGACCAACCUGCCCUGUGCACCGGAAUAGCUCCUGGAAACGGGUGGUAAUACCGGAUGCUCCGCUCCAUCGCAUGGUGGGGUGGGAAAUGCUUUUGCGGCAUGGGAUGGGGUCGCGUCCUAUCAGCUUGUUGGCGGGGUGAUGGCCCACCAAGGCGUUGACGGGUAGCCGGCCUGAGAGGGUGACCGGCCACAUUGGGACUGAGAUACGGCCCAGACUCCUACGGGAGGCAGCAGUGGGGAAUAUUGCACAAUGGGCGCAAGCCUGAUGCAGCGACGCCGCGUGCGGGAUGGAGGCCUUCGGGUUGUAAACCGCUUUUGUUCAAGGGCAAGGCACGGUUUCGGCCGUGUUGAGUGGAUUGUUCGAAUAAGCACCGGCUAACUACGUGCCAGCAGCCGCGGUAAUACGUAGGGUGCGAGCGUUAUCCGGAUUUAUUGGGCGUAAAGGGCUCGUAGGCGGUUCGUCGCGUCCGGUGUGAAAGUCCAUCGCUUAACGGUGGAUCUGCGCCGGGUACGGGCGGGCUGGAGUGCGGUAGGGGAGACUGGAAUUCCCGGUGUAACGGUGGAAUGUGUAGAUAUCGGGAAGAACACCAAUGGCGAAGGCAGGUCUCUGGGCCGUUACUGACGCUGAGGAGCGAAAGCGUGGGGAGCGAACAGGAUUAGAUACCCUGGUAGUCCACGCCGUAAACGGUGGAUGCUGGAUGUGGGGCCCGUUCCACGGGUUCCGUGUCGGAGCUAACGCGUUAAGCAUCCCGCCUGGGGAGUACGGCCGCAAGG
RNAcentral lists this ribosomal RNA (889 nucleotides) under human gut metagenome. RNAcentral describes it as "bacterial SSU rRNA". It matches the Rfam family "Bacterial small subunit ribosomal RNA", at positions 8 to 893 of the family's 1533-position model. The record is from RNAcentral.